RNAcentral lists this ribosomal RNA (458 nucleotides) under uncultured Methylomirabilota bacterium. RNAcentral's name for it is "bacterial SSU rRNA". It matches the Rfam family "Bacterial small subunit ribosomal RNA", at positions 977 to 1434 of the family's 1533-position model. The record is from RNAcentral. Lineage: Bacteria; Methylomirabilota (SeqCode).
GGGCUUGACAUCCCACGAACCUGCCGGAAACGGUGGGGUGCCGCAAGGAACAGUGAGACAGGUGGUGCAUGGUUGUCGUCAGCUCGUGUCGUGAGAUGUUGGGUUAAGUCCCGCAACGAGCGCAACCCUUGUUCUCUGUUGCCAUCAGGUUAUGCUGGGCACUCUGAGGAGACUGCCGGUGAUAAACCGGAGGAAGGUGGGGAUGACGUCAAGUCAGCAUGGCCUUUAUGUCUGGGGCUACACACGUGCUACAAUGGCCAGUACAAACCGCUGCGAUCCCGCGAGGGGGAGCUAAUCGGAGAAAACCGGUCUCAGUUCGGAUUGUAGGCUGCAACUCGCCUGCAUGAAGUUGGAAUCGCUAGUAAUCGCAGAUCAGCAGGCUGCGGUGAAUACGUUCCCGGGCCUUGUACACACCGCCCGUCACAUCACGAAGGCCGGCUGUACUCGAAGUCGCUGAG